RNAcentral lists this long non-coding RNA (767 nucleotides) under Homo sapiens (human). RNAcentral describes it as "non-protein coding lnc-A1BG-2:10". The record is from RNAcentral. Lineage: Eukaryota; Metazoa; Chordata; Mammalia; Primates; Hominidae.
CUCUCACUCUCUACCCGCUGGGCGGUACCCCGCAUCUCGCUCUGGCCGCCCCAGAGGUUCGCGGCUUCUGGACCUGCUGUGCCCCUCUCCAGCCUGGAUCAGGACGGAGAACACCCCCGAAACCCACCUCACCAGCACAGCCGGCGGACCCUUCCGGAGGUGGCCGCAGAGACUAGCCAACUUGCGCGCCCGCCGACCCGGACCACAGCUCCCAGCACACCUCAAGGGCCCACGCCCGCCAGGACUACAAUUCCCGGCGUCCUCCGGAAGCUCAAGUGUACCCAGGCGCGGUGCCUGCUGGGAAUUGUAGUUGACGUUGGUCAGCACGGAGGCCACAGGAUCCCAGCCCGGCCUUUGUGGGACUGAGGUGGCGCUGAGUGGGAGAGCAGCAGGCGAUGCGCGAAAGGCGGGACUUGGAGGUUCUGGAUGUUCCUGUGGAUAACCUCAAGGAGCACGGGACCUGGGACAUGACUGCCCCCAGCAUUCCUUCUGGCGGCAGACAGAGUUUGUCAGUUCGCCAACAUCCUGCUUUCAUGAGAACAGUUUGCUGUUUGCUCACAGAGCCUCCAGUGGUAUACUGAGUUGGUCACGACCCUCAUUCCUUCGGCCUCCAACAUCUCCCCUUUUGUUUUUGCAUUAAUUGAAUAAAGAUGACGUCACUGAGGUAAGGGCGGGUUAAAGCCUGUCCUAUACCAAGCAAGUUGUGCAGCCAACUGGGGGACUGAAUCCCAGUGUGAUGUGAUGAAGAGGUGUUGAAGGUCCACCAC